This 1146-nucleotide long non-coding RNA is filed under the name Phasianus colchicus (ring-necked pheasant). RNAcentral's name for it is "lncRNA (ENSPCLG00000005781.1)". The record is from RNAcentral. Lineage: Eukaryota; Metazoa; Chordata; Aves; Galliformes; Phasianidae.
CAAAAACCAACAGAAGAAACAACGACCAAAAACAAAAGGAGAAAUUAAACUAAAGAGAAAUGAUAUACUUUAGAUUCUUAAUUAAUUGCUGUCAUGUGCUUUUGCGGUCCAUGCUGAAUACAGUGGUGUGCAUGGUAAAUUCUACCAUGUUGCAUUUAGUUGUGGAUGGGUGAAGAAGAGGUUUCAGUUGCUCCUUAUAAUAAUCUGGUAAAAUGUAUUCAUUGAUGGCUGCGUCAAUCACACGUUUUGUUUCCUACCAAACUGUUGUGUGUCAAAUCUUCUCUACGUAUUUAUUUUUGUUGCAUCUCUUGUUUUGUUUGAAAUAGUAAACUGUUAACUACAGCAACCUGCUAACGUUGAGCAUGCUUCUGUCUUCUAUUUCAGCUAUUCAAAUCAACUAUGGCUAUACCACGUCCAUGUCUAUCCACCGUACUUUCCAACUAUUUUGAUAAAAUCAAAGAGAGCCACUGAGAUAAAGUUUAAAGGGAAGAGCUUUGUGGUGGACAAUUCGAAAUUAACAGGCUCUUCCUGCUAUGCAAGGCAGUGACAAGCUGAAGAUGGAGACUGCACAUCAUGGGAGAGGAACGUUUUUCACUCAGCUGAGCACCCAAAGACACUCAGUGUGCUGCACACCCAGCUUUCUGCUGAAAAGGGAAUGGAGGUCCUUUGGAAAUCCAACUGUGUGAUGGUGUCAUCCCUCCACAGGCUUCCAGUGGCCGUGCAAUUGGUUUACUCCACAUGGAAUCCCUGUAUUUUUAUGACAUGUACAGUUGGUUGUAAUGCCACACUACGUAUCAUGUACAACAUCAAAGAGCUAAGUAAGUAUAAAGUGUAUCUGAAAUGUGCCUAUCUCUGAGGUGGACAGAUGCCAAUCAGUGCACAAGGUAUUGUAUAACAUAGCUCGGGGCUUGAAAAUGUCGUAGGAUCCAUGGUACCCUUGAAGAGCAAACAGGGCCUCAGCUUCUGAUGUGUCACUCAACAGAUAUGAUGUAUAUGACACAUACGUUGCUUUAUACCACCAUAUAAUUUAGUGUGCUUAUGCAAAGAAGUGCAUGUGGGAUCGAUGGCAUAUGGUAUAUUAAGAAAGAGUAACACCAGAUUUAAAAAAAAAAUAAAUGUAUUCAUCCAUUAAAUGGUGUAAAUUAA